Molecule: long non-coding RNA, 766 nt
Organism: Leptidea sinapis
Lineage: Eukaryota; Metazoa; Arthropoda; Insecta; Lepidoptera; Pieridae
Exons: 2
Source: RefSeq, a predicted model, not a curated record
UUUAAUGGUAAUUGUUCGCUCCAUUAGCAUAUUGCAUAUGAAUCGAGUUAACUUCGCUGGAAUACUCAGCUGAAUGAGUUUGCUCCUGAGCAGAGGAAGAGACACGUUAUCAUAUGCGGAUUCUAUAUCUAGAAAAACUGCCAAAAGAGGUUCUUUUUGGAAAAGGGCUAAUCUUAUAUCAGUGGUAAGGAUACCCAAGCUAUCUAAUGAGCUCUUCCCCUUUCUGAAUCCAAACUGGGAAUCGGAAAUGAGGUUAUUGUAUUCAACAAACCACUCAAGUCGAUGUUUGAUCAUAUGUUCACAUAUUUUUGCAAGAGCAGAUGAUAGGGCAAUAGGUCUAUAACUGGUGGCUUUAGAUGGACUCUGACCUGGUUUGAGUAUAGGAAUGAUCACUUGAUUUUUCCAAGAUGGAGGAAAGAAUAGGGGAUGCCAUCGGCCCCGGGAGAAGUGUCAACUAAGCCAUCCAAUGCCAGAAGGAGUUCUGAAAAAGAGAAAGGGGAGUCUAAACUAUGAGUUGAUGAGAGAGGGAUUGGAGGUGAAGGGAGAUAGUCUUCAUUAGGAACUGAAGGGGGUGACAACCUAUCUGCAAAGGAUUCAAGCCAUACAGAUGGAUCUACACUUGAGUCAUGCUCCGAAGGAUUGUAAGAACCCCUAAAUUUUUUAACUUGUUUCCAUACAAUUGUAGAUGGAGUACAGGGAGAUAAGCUCUGGCAAAAAUUGAUCCAACCUUGUUUUUUCUUUUUGGCAAAUAAAUUAGUGGCCUUGG